RNAcentral lists this ribosomal RNA (1418 nucleotides) under Salmonella enterica subsp. enterica serovar Anatum. RNAcentral describes it as "partial 23S ribosomal RNA". It matches the Rfam family "Bacterial large subunit ribosomal RNA", at positions 137 to 1410 of the family's 2925-position model. The record is from RNAcentral. Lineage: Bacteria; Pseudomonadati; Pseudomonadota; Gammaproteobacteria; Enterobacterales; Enterobacteriaceae.
GAUUCGUCACACUAUCAUUAACUGAAUCCAUAGGUUAAUGAGGCGAACCGGGGGAACUGAAACAUCUAAGUACCCCGAGGAAAAGAAAUCAACCGAGAUUCCCCCAGUAGCGGCGAGCGAACGGGGAGGAGCCCAGAGCCUGAAUCAGCAUGUGUGUUAGUGGAAGCGUCUGGAAAGGCGCGCGAUACAGGGUGACAGCCCCGUACACAAAAGCGCAUGUGCUGUGAGCUCGAUGAGUAGGGCGGGACACGUGGUAUCCUGUCUGAAUAUGGGGGGACCAUCCUCCAAGGCUAAAUACUCCUGACUGACCGAUAGUGAACCAGUACCGUGAGGGAAAGGCGAAAAGAACCCCGGCGAGGGGAGUGAAAAAGAACCUGAAACCGUGUACGUACAAGCAGUGGGAGCCCCACCACCAAAGCAUUCUCUGGUGUUGAAGGCCCUGCAAAGCAGCAUCGCGGUGGCGGAGCGUCGUUUGCGACGCCCAACACACAAAACAAGCGGUGAGUGCUUUGGGGUGGGGUGACUGCGUACCUUUUGUAUAAUGGGUCAGCGACUUAUAUUCUGUAGCAAGGUUAACCGAAUAGGGGAGCCGGAGGGAAACCGAGUCUUAAUUGGGCGUUAAGUUGCAGGGUAUAGACCCGAAACCCGGUGAUCUAGCCAUGGGCAGGUUGAAGGUUGGGUAACACUAACUGGAGGACCGAACCGACUAAUGUUGAAAAAUUAGCGGAUGACCUGUGGCUGGGGGUGAAAGGCCAAUCAAACCGGGAGAUAGCUGGUUCUCCCCGAAAGCUAUUUAGGUAGCGCCUCGUGAAUUCAUCUCCGGGGGUAGAGCACUGUUUCGGCUAGGGGGCCAUCCCGGCUUACCAACCCGAUGCAAACUGCGAAUACCGGAGAAUGUUAUCACGGGAGACACACGGCGGGUGCUAACGUCCGUCGUGAAGAGGGAAACAACCCAGACCGCCAGCUAAGGUCCCAAAGUCAUGGUUAAGUGGGAAACGAUGUGGGAAGGCCCAGACAGCCAGGAUGUUGGCUUAGAAGCAGCCAUCAUUUAAAGAAAGCGUAAUAGCUCACUGGUCGAGUCGGCCUGCGCGGAAGAUGUAACGGGGCUAAACCAUGCACCGAAGCUGCGGCAGCGAACGUAUCACUUAAAGCGAUUCAGCGGGUUACGAUUGACGGAGCGAAGCGACGUCAAAGCGUAUACAAAGUCGAGUCGGUUUAAGGAUACGUUCGUUGGGUAGGGGAGCGUUCUGUAAGCCUGCGAAGGUGGCCUGUGAGGGUUGCUGGAGGUAUCAGAAGUGCGAAUGCUGACAUAAGUAACGAUAAAGCGGGUGAAAAGCCCGCUCGCCGGAAGACCAAGGGUUCCUGUCCAACGUUAAUCGGGGCAGGGUGAGUCGACCCCUAAGGCGAGGCCGAAAGGC